GAAAAAAUUGAUUUCGCGUAAUUCAUUUCCACUCUCGCGUACUCCUUCGUCGAACACUGCUCCGUCGUCGCCGCUUCGAGGUAACCCAAUAGAGAUCUUAACUAUGGGGGAAGGGAAAUAACAACUGGACUUAUAUUUUUAAUCGCAAGAAGGGUUAAUCUAGCUUAGAGGACAUCAUAGCACCAUUCACGGUAUGGUUUGUAUGCCAUUUCUCGGGCGCCUGGUGAACAUUGUAUCUGACACUAGAGGGGAGCAUUUGUGGAGCUCUAUAGAGAACUUGGAUUGCUCAAAACCUAUAGCAUCCAGAAGCGCACUGUCAGGCUGCGCCCCACCGUCCGGUUGAGAAAUUCGGCUCUCUUACCACUUGUCAGUUUUCCUCCUAGGAUCGACGAUGAUCAGUAACCUUUGAUCCGAGCAGCAGCCUUUGUAAUAAGCAUCACGGAUAGAGAUCGCUAUGUACAAGGUGAUUACCCAUUCACAUAUGGCUAUUGCAAGCACAACUCCCAGAAAAUGGUGACCACAAUUUCUCUUUUUAGCAGUUGUAUGGGUUUGCUUGCAUUCAACUAUAAUUUGUGUUGUAAUAAUUGCUUGACUGACGAUCAAAAUACUACUAGAAAGUUUGUGGCUUUGUUGGAAUAGUUAGAAUUAGUUCUGCAAACCUAAUCCAGUGUGUUUUAGAACUACUUAUUGUUUUAGUGUAUAGCAAAGCGUGAUCUGGAUUGUUUAUUGUUUUUAUAUAUAUAUAUAUUUUUUUCAUUCAUCUAUUGUGUUAUAUGGUUUUUCUUUCUUCUCGUCUUAC
This is a long non-coding RNA of Andrographis paniculata, 799 nucleotides long. RefSeq lists it as uncharacterized. Lineage: Eukaryota; Viridiplantae; Streptophyta; Magnoliopsida; Lamiales; Acanthaceae. The record is from RefSeq and is a predicted model, not a curated record. The transcript has 5 exons.